UACGUAGGUGGCAAGCGUUGUCCGGAUUUACUGGGCGUAAAGAGCGCGCAGGCGGUCGAAUAAGUCGAAUGUGAAAGCCCCCGGCUUAACUGGGGAGGGUCAUUCGAUACUGCUCGACUUGAAGGCAGGAGAGGGUAGUGGAAUUCCCGGUGUAGUGGUGAAAUGCGUAGAUAUCUGGAAGAACACCGGUGGCGAAGGCGGUCAACUGGCCCUAAACUGACGCUCAGGCACGAAAGCGUGGGGAUCAAACAGG
This 253-nucleotide ribosomal RNA is filed under the name uncultured bacterium. RNAcentral describes it as "partial 16S ribosomal RNA". It matches the Rfam family "Bacterial small subunit ribosomal RNA", at positions 524 to 776 of the family's 1533-position model. The record is from RNAcentral.